GAUGAAGAACGUAGCGAAAUGCGAUACGUAAUGUGAAUUGCAAAUUCAGUGAAUCAUCGAGUCUUUGAACGCACAUUGCGCCCCCUGGUAUUCCGGGGGGCAUGCCUGUCCGAGCGUCAUUGCUGCCCUCAAGCACGGCUUGUGUGUUGGGCCCCGUCCUCCGAUCCCGGGGGACGGGCCCGAAAGGCAGCGGCGGCACCGCGUCCGGUCCUCGAGCGUAUGGGGCCUUGUCACCCGCUCUGUAGGCCCGGCCGGCGCUUGCCGAUCAACCCAAAUUUUUUAUCCAGGUUGACCUCGGAUCAGGUAGGGAUACCCGCUGAACUUAAGCAUAUCAAUAAGCGGAGGA
RNAcentral lists this unclassified non-coding RNA (346 nucleotides) under soil metagenome. RNAcentral's name for it is "partial contains 5.8S ribosomal RNA, internal transcribed spacer 2, and large subunit ribosomal RNA". The stretch from base 1 to 119 matches the Rfam family "5.8S ribosomal RNA", at positions 35 to 154 of the family's 154-position model. The record is from RNAcentral.